CAAUAGCGUAUAUUAAAGUUGUUGCAGUUAAAAAGCUCGUAGUUGAAUUUUUGCUUGCCGCCGAUGUCGGAACUUCCGUACGUUCGGCGGCGUGCAUCCUUGGGUGGAACCUGUGUGGCAUUAGGUUGUCGUGCAGGGGAUGCUCAUCGUUUACUGUGAAAAAAUUAGAGUGUUCAAAGCAGGCUUACGCCGUUGAAUAUAUUAGCAUGGAAUAAUAAGAUAGGACCUUGGUACUAUUUUGUUGGUUUGCGCACCGAGGUAAUGAUUAACAGGGACAGUUGGGGGUAUUCGUAUUCCAUUGUCAGAGGUGAAAUUCUUGGAUUUCUGGAAGACAAACUACUGCGAAAGCAUUACCAAGGAUGUUUUCAUUAA
This 372-nucleotide ribosomal RNA is filed under the name uncultured eukaryote. RNAcentral's name for it is "partial 18S ribosomal RNA". It matches the Rfam family "Eukaryotic small subunit ribosomal RNA", at positions 592 to 976 of the family's 1831-position model. The record is from RNAcentral.